CCUACGGGUGGCAGCAGUGGGGAAUAUUGGGCAAUGGGCGCAAGCCUGACCCAGCAACGCCGCGUGAAGGAAGAAGGCUUUCGGGUUGUAAACCUCUUUUAUCAGGGACGAAGCAAGUGACGGUACCUGAUGAUUAAGCCACGGCUAACUACGUGCCAGCAGCCGCGGUAAUACGUAGGUGGCAAGCGUUAUCCGGAUUUACUGGGUGUAAGGGGCGAGUAGGCGGGAGUGUAAGUCAGAUGUGAAAGUUAUGGGCUCAACCCAUAGAAUGCAUUUGAGACUGGACUUCUUGAGUGCAGGAGAGGCAGGCGGAAUUCGGGGUGUAGCGGUGAAAUGCGUAGAUAUACGGAAGAACACCGGUGGCGAAGGCAGAUUGCUAGACAGUAACUGACGCUGAGGCGCGAAAGCGUGGGGAGCAAACAGGAUUAGAUACCCCAGUAGUC
RNAcentral lists this ribosomal RNA (443 nucleotides) under uncultured bacterium. Its description in RNAcentral is "partial 16S ribosomal RNA". It matches the Rfam family "Bacterial small subunit ribosomal RNA", at positions 338 to 795 of the family's 1533-position model. The record is from RNAcentral.